Molecule: ribosomal RNA, 421 nt
Filed under: uncultured bacterium
Lineage: Bacteria
Description: bacterial SSU rRNA
Rfam family: Bacterial small subunit ribosomal RNA
Source: RNAcentral
CAGGCCUAACACAUGCAAGUCGAGCGCCAGCGCGAGAAGUUUACUUCUUGGAGGCGAGCGGCGGACGGCUGAGUAACACGUAGGAACGUACCCCAAAGUGAGGGAUACGCACCAGAAAUGGUGUCUAAUACCGCAUGUGGCCCACGGGCUAAAGCUUUAUGCGCUUUGGGAACGGCCUGCGUAAGAUUAGCUUGUUGGUGAGGUAAUGGCUCACCAAGGCGACGAUCUUUAGGUGGUCUGAGAGGAUGAUCAGCCAGACUGGGACUGAGACACGGCCCAGACUCCUACGGGAGGCAGCAGUAGGGAAUUUUCCACAAUGGGCGAAAGCCUGAUGGAGCAACGCCGCGUGCAGGAUGAAACCCCUCGGGGAGUAAACUGCUUUUAUAUGUGACGAAUAUGACGGUAGCAUAUGAAUAAGGAU